GAUGAACGCUGGCGGCGUGCCUAAUACAUGCAAGUCGAGCGAACGGACGAGAAGCUUGCUUCUCUGAUGUUAGCGGCGGACGGGUGAGUAACACGUGGAUAACCUACCUAUAAGACUGGGAUAACUUCGGGAAACCGUAGCUAAUACCGGAUAAUAUUUUGAACCGCAUGGUUCAAAAGUGAAAGACGGUCUUGCUGUCACUUAUAGAUGGAUCCGCGCUGCAUUAGCUAGUUGGUAAGGUAACGGCUUACCAAGGCAACGAUGCAUAGCCGACCUGAGAGGGUGAUCGGCCACACUGGAACUGAGACACGGUCCAGACUCCUACGGGAGGCAGCAGUAGGGAAUCUUCCGCAAUGGGCGAAAGCCUGACGGAGCAACGCCGCGUGAGUGAUGAAGGUCUUCGGAUCGUAAAACUCUGUUAUUAGGGAAGUACAUAUGUGUAAGUAACUGUGCACAUCUUGACGGUACCUAAUCAGAAAGCCACGGCUAACUACGUG
Molecule: ribosomal RNA, 497 nt
Filed under: uncultured bacterium
Lineage: Bacteria
Description: partial 16S ribosomal RNA
Rfam family: Bacterial small subunit ribosomal RNA
Source: RNAcentral